Molecule: long non-coding RNA, 370 nt
Filed under: Ananas comosus (pineapple)
Lineage: Eukaryota; Viridiplantae; Streptophyta; Magnoliopsida; Poales; Bromeliaceae
Description: long non-coding RNA (ACOM_LNC013043)
Source: RNAcentral
CUCUAUCUGAUCUAGGGAUGCCAACGGAUCGGAUUCGGACGGUUUUAAAAAAUUCAAAUCUGAACCCGACUACAGAAAUUAAAACUCGAAUCCAAAAUCAAAACCGUCGGAUUUUGAAAAUGCAUAAAAAAUCAAACUUGCAAAACGGAUCAAAAUCCGAAUCUAAAAAAAUUAUGCUCUUUACCAAAUUUCAAACGUAAUCAUAUUCAAAUCUACAUUCUUAAAAUACAAAUUCAAAUUUUUAUAUAUUAUAUAAUAUAAAACUAGUUCGGUUUUUGUUCAGAUUCAGGUAGGAUAUAGAUAUCUUAUUUUGGCAUCUAAAUAAAAUCUUAGGCAUUGUGCGUAAAUUAUCACAAAAUAACUUAUUUCG